ACGAGGUAGCAGGGCAACUUGCUACUUAGUGGCGGAAGGGUUAGUAAUACAUGAAUAACCUACCCUCAACCUGGGGAUAACUCCUGGAAACGGGUGCUAAUACCGAAUGAGGUGAGAUGAGCGAUAGCUCGAUUCAUCAAAGUAGGGGAUCUCGUAAGAGACCUCGCGGUUGAGGAGGGGUUCAUGGGAUAUCAGCUAGUUGGUGUGGUAAAGGCGCACCAAGG
This 224-nucleotide ribosomal RNA is filed under the name uncultured Chlamydiales CRG1. RNAcentral's name for it is "partial 16S ribosomal RNA". It matches the Rfam family "Bacterial small subunit ribosomal RNA", at positions 66 to 273 of the family's 1533-position model. The record is from RNAcentral. Lineage: Bacteria; Pseudomonadati; Chlamydiota; Chlamydiia; Chlamydiales.